GAACCGUGCGAACGUUAUUCGGAAUCACUGGGCUUAAAGCGCGUGUAGGCGGGCUGCCACGUCGGGCGCUGAAAUCCCCCGGCUCAACCGGGGAAGGGGCCGUGAUACGACCGGGCUGGAGGGGGGUAGGGGGGACGGGAACUCACGGUGGAGCGGUGAAAUGCGUUGAGAUCGUGAGGAACGCCCGUGGCGAAAGCGCGUCCCUGGACCCCACCUGACGCUGAGACGCGAAAGCCAGGGGAGCGAACGGGAUUAGAUACCCCGGUAGUCCUGGCCGUAAACCAUGAGCACUGGGUAGGGGGCUCGCCGAUGGGCUCCCUGCCGCAGCGAAAGCGUGAAGUGCUCCGCCUGGGGAGUAUGGUCGCAAGGCUG
RNAcentral lists this ribosomal RNA (372 nucleotides) under uncultured bacterium. Its description in RNAcentral is "bacterial SSU rRNA". It matches the Rfam family "Bacterial small subunit ribosomal RNA", at positions 527 to 896 of the family's 1533-position model. The record is from RNAcentral.